CGGGAAACUGGGGAUAAUACCCUAUAGCCUAUGGAUGCUGGAAUGCUCUGUAGCCGAAAGGUCAGCCGCCGUAGGAUGGGUCUGCGGCCGAUUAGGUUGUUGUUGGGGUAACGGCCCAACAAGCCUGUAAUCGGUACGGGUUGUGGGAGCAAGGGCCCGGAGAUGGAUUCUGAGACACGAAUCCAGGCCCUACGGGGCGCAGCAGGCGCGAAAACUUUGCAAUGCGGGAAACCGUGACAAGGGAACUCUGAGUGCCCGUAAGAUCGGGCUGUCCAUCGGUUUAAAUAACCGGGGGAGAAAGGGCCGGGCAAGACCGGUGCCAGCCGCCGCGGUAACA
RNAcentral lists this ribosomal RNA (337 nucleotides) under uncultured archaeon. RNAcentral describes it as "partial 16S ribosomal RNA". It matches the Rfam family "Archaeal small subunit ribosomal RNA", at positions 133 to 475 of the family's 1478-position model. The record is from RNAcentral.